This 431-nucleotide ribosomal RNA is filed under the name uncultured bacterium. Its description in RNAcentral is "partial 16S ribosomal RNA". It matches the Rfam family "Bacterial small subunit ribosomal RNA", at positions 29 to 507 of the family's 1533-position model. The record is from RNAcentral.
AACGAACGCUGGCGGCAGGCUUAACACAUGCAAGUCGAACGCCCCGCCAGGGGAGUGGCAGACGGGUGAGUAACGCGUGGGAACAUACCCUUUUCUACGGAAUAGCUCUGGGAAACUGGAAUUAAUACCGUAUACGCCCUACGGGGGAAAGAUUUAUCGGGGAAGGAUUGGCCCGCGUUGGAUUAGCUAGUUGGUGGGGUAAAGGCCUACCAAGGCGACGAUCCAUAGCUGGUCUGAGAGGAUGAUCAGCCACAUUGGGACUGAGACACGGCCCAAACUCCUACGGGAGGCAGCAGUGGGGAAUAUUGGACAAUGGGCGCAAGCCUGAUCCAGCCAGGCCGCGUGAGUGAUGAAGGCCUUAGGGUUGUAAAGCUCUUCCACCGAUGAAGAUAAUGACGGUAGUCGGAGAAGAAGCCCCGGCUAACUUCGUG